AUGGCACAUGCUAGGAACAACACGCAAUUUCUGUGCUUGGCCGUAGCUCUUCUAGUCACGUUGGCCUCCUUGACCUGCAACGCCAAGGACACAGAUCCUAACACAUACAGUGAAUCUGUGUCGAAAUGCAAGAGACCGAUGGAUGAUUAUGGCAUGCGCAACUGCAACAAAGUAUAUUGUGCAAGGAACAACACGGAAACUAACAUAUACUGUCAAUCUAUGUGGGAAUGCAACAGACCAGUUCAUGAUUAUGACCAGCGCAAGUGCCGAAAAUUCUGCGUAAGCAUGGGCUACGACUACCUCAGGAGCUAUUGUGAGCACCACCCCUACCAUAAGUAA
Molecule: ribosomal RNA, 339 nt
Filed under: Triticum aestivum (bread wheat)
Lineage: Eukaryota; Viridiplantae; Streptophyta; Magnoliopsida; Poales; Poaceae
Description: partial small subunit ribosomal RNA
Source: RNAcentral